AAUAUUGGAAAAUGGGGGCAACCCUGAUCCAGCCAUGCCGCGUGUGUGAAGAAGGUCUUAGGAAUGUAAAGCACUUUACGUUGGGAGGAAGGGCUUUAGGCUAAUACCCUGAAGUUUUGACGUUACCAACAGAAUAAGCACCGGCUAACUUCGUUCCAGCAGUCGCGGUAAUACGAAGGGUGCAAGCGUUAAUCAGAAUUAUUGGGCGUAAAGCGUGCGUAGGUGGUUCGUUAAGUUGGAAGUGAAAGCCCCGGGCUUAACCUGGGAAUUGCUUUCAAAACUGACGAGCUAGAGUACGGUAGAGGGUAGUGGAAUUUCCUGUGUAGCGGUGAAAUGCGUAGAUAUAGGAAGGAACAUCAGUGGCGAAGGCGACUACCUGGACUGAUACUGACACUGAGGUGCGAAAGCGUGGGGAGCAAACA
This 422-nucleotide ribosomal RNA is filed under the name uncultured bacterium. Its description in RNAcentral is "partial 16S ribosomal RNA". It matches the Rfam family "Bacterial small subunit ribosomal RNA", at positions 360 to 774 of the family's 1533-position model. The record is from RNAcentral.